UUCGAUUUUUGGCUCAGAUUGAACGCUGGCGGAUGCUUUACACAUGCAAGUCGAACGGCAGCACGGACUUCGGUCUGGUGGCGAGUGGCGAACGGGUGAGUAAUGUAUCGGAACGUGCCUAGUAGCGGGGGAUAACUACGCGAAAGUUGUAGCUAAUACCGCAUAAUACCCUUUCAAAGCGGGGACCUUCGGGCCUCGCACUAUUAGAGCGGCCGAUAUCGGAUUAGUUAGUUGGUGGGGUAACGGCUCACCAGGCGACGAGAUCCGUAGCUGGUUUGAGGACGACCAGCCACAUCGACUAGAUGGCCCAGACUGAUGGAGGCAGCAGCGGGGAAUUUUGGACAAUGGGGGAAACCUGAUCCAACCAUCCUCGCAAGUGAUGAAGGCUGGGUUGUAAAAGCACUUUGGCAGGAAAGAAACGGUACGGGGAUAAUACCCGUGCAACUGACGGUACCUGCAGAAUAAGCACCGGCUAACUACGUGCCAGCAGCCGCGGUAAUGUAGGGUAAGCGUUAACCGGAAUUACUGGGCGUAAGCGUGCGCAGGCGGUUCGAAAGAAAGAUGUGAAAUCCCAGAGCUUAACUUUGGAACUGUAUUUUUAACUACCGAGCUAGAGUGUGUCAGAGGAGGUGGAAUUCGCGUAGCAGUGAAAUGCGUAGAUAUGCGGAGGAACACCGAUGGCGAAGGCAGCCUCCCGGAUAACACUGACGCUCAUGCACGAAAGCGUGGGGAGCAAACAGGAUUAGAUACUCCUGGUAGUCCACGUCUCAAACGAUGUCAACUAGCUGUUGGGGCCUUUCGGGCUCGGUAGCGCAGCUAACGCGUGAAGUUGACCGCCUGGGGAGUACCGGUCGCAAGAUUAAAACUCAAAGGAAUUGACGGGGACCCGCACGCGGUGACGAUGUGAUUACCCGAUGCAACGCGAAAACUACCUACCGCGACAUGUCUGGAAUCCCGAAGAGAUUUGGGGAGUGCUCGCAAGAGAACCGGAACACAGGUGCUGCAUGGCUGUCGUCAGCUCGUGUCGUGAGAUGUUGGGUUAAGUCCUGCAACGAGCGCAACCCCUUUGUCAUUAGUUGCUACGAAAGGGCACUCUAAUGAGACUGCUGGUGACAAACCGAGGAAGGUGGGGAUGACGUCAGUCCUCAUGGCCCUUGCGGGUAGGGCUUACACGUCAUACAAUGGUCGGGACAGAGGUCGCCAACCCGCGAGGGGGAGCCAAUCCCAGAAACCCGAUCGUAGUCCGGAUCGCAGUCUGCAACCUCGACUGCGUGAAGUCGGAAUCGCUAGUAAUCGCGGAUCAGCAUGUCGGUGAAUACGUUCCCGGUCUUGUACACACCGCCCGUCACACCAUGUGGAGGGGCUUACCAGAAGUAGUUAGCCUAACCGUAAGGAGGUUGAUUACCACGGUGGGAUUCAGUGACUGGGGUGAAGUCGUAAUGUGUAA
RNAcentral lists this ribosomal RNA (1447 nucleotides) under uncultured Bordetella sp. RNAcentral describes it as "partial 16S-23S ribosomal RNA intergenic spacer". It matches the Rfam family "Bacterial small subunit ribosomal RNA". The record is from RNAcentral. Lineage: Bacteria; Pseudomonadati; Pseudomonadota; Betaproteobacteria; Burkholderiales; Alcaligenaceae.